GACGUAGGGUGCGAGCGUUGUCCGGAUUUAUUGGGCGUAAAGAGCUCGUAGGCGGCUUGUCGCGUCGAAUGUGAAAUCCUGCGGCUCAACUGCAGGCUUGCAUUCGAUACGGGCAGGCUCGAGUUCGGUAGGGGAGACUGGAAUUCCUGGUGUAGCGGUGAAAUGCGCAGAUAUCAGGAGGAACACCGGUGGCGAAGGCGGGUCUCUGGGCCGAUACUGACGCUGAGGAGCGAAAGCGUGGGGAGCGAACAGG
This 253-nucleotide ribosomal RNA is filed under the name uncultured bacterium. Its description in RNAcentral is "partial 16S ribosomal RNA". It matches the Rfam family "Bacterial small subunit ribosomal RNA", at positions 524 to 776 of the family's 1533-position model. The record is from RNAcentral.